Molecule: small RNA, 279 nt
Filed under: Gorilla gorilla gorilla (western lowland gorilla)
Lineage: Eukaryota; Metazoa; Chordata; Mammalia; Primates; Hominidae
Description: Metazoan signal recognition particle RNA (ENSGGOG00000039013.1)
Source: RNAcentral
GCCGGGCAUGGUAGUGUGUGCCUGUAAUCCCAGCUACUCGGGAGGCUGAGUGGGGAGAAUUGCCUGAAUCUGGGAGGCGGAGGUUGCAGUGAGCCGAGCCACUGCACUCAAGCCCGGGCGACAGAGUAAGACCCUGUCUCAAAAAAAAAGGUUUCGAUUUUAAAUUAUUAUUAUUAUUUGAGAUGGAAUCUCACUCUGUCACCCAGGCUGGAGUGCAAUGGCGCGAUCUUGGCUCACUGCAACCUCCGUCUCCCAGGUUCAAGUGAUUCUCCUGCCUCU